GUUUCCAUCAUGACACCAACACUUUUGAGACCUUUACAGAGAACAUUAUCAUGGCCCCUACCCAAGAAUGACAUACAAAAUUGGGAUGCUGGCAGAAUCAUU
Octopus sinensis (East Asian common octopus) is the source of this 102-nucleotide small nuclear RNA. The record is from RefSeq and is a predicted model, not a curated record. Lineage: Eukaryota; Metazoa; Mollusca; Cephalopoda; Octopoda; Octopodidae.